ACUCUCCCAGAAGAGGAAACCCACCCUGGGCACCCGCUCCACCAGCGGGAAACUUAGAGAAGAUAGCUGCCACGGCCACCGUGGGGCCCUGCAACCUCUGGGCUUCGCUGAGGAAACUCAGCUUGGUGCAGGGUGGUGAUUCCAGGUCUCUGCUGACCCCACCUUGGCACCUAGCCCUGGACAGAGCAACUGAAGCCUCCUCUGCAAGGCAGCCCUACCCUGAAGGCCGCUGGAAGGAAGGUAGCUCUCCAGCCAGCUGCCCUCCCAGCAGAGUUUCAGAUUUGGAUCCUGAGGCUGGGAUCCCCAGGACGACACCUGGCUACCUAGGCCCAUGUGGCCAUCACCGAUGUGCCCUUCUGGCUGCUGGCUGCAGUGCUGUUCAGUUACAGGGUG
Molecule: long non-coding RNA, 393 nt
Filed under: Meriones unguiculatus (Mongolian gerbil)
Lineage: Eukaryota; Metazoa; Chordata; Mammalia; Rodentia; Muridae
Description: lncRNA (ENSMUGG00000026820.1)
Source: RNAcentral